RNAcentral lists this transfer RNA (123 nucleotides) under Agrocybe pediades. RNAcentral describes it as "tRNA-Leu". It matches the Rfam family "tRNA". From Rfam's summary of the family: Transfer RNA (tRNA) molecules are approximately 80 nucleotides in length. Their secondary structure includes four short double-helical elements and three loops (D, anti-codon, and T loops). Further hydrogen bonds mediate the characteristic L-shaped molecular structure. tRNAs have two regions of fundamental functional importance: the anti-codon, which is responsible for specific mRNA codon recognition, and the 3' end, to which the tRNAs corresponding amino acid is attached (by aminoacyl-tRNA synthetases). tRNAs cope with the degeneracy of the genetic code in two manners: having more than one tRNA (with a specific anti-codon) for a particular amino acid; and 'wobble' base-pairing, i.e. permitting non-standard base-pairing at the 3rd anti-codon position. The record is from RNAcentral. Lineage: Eukaryota; Fungi; Basidiomycota; Agaricomycetes; Agaricales; Agrocybaceae.
GGUGAGAUGGCCGAGCGGUCUAAGGCGCCAGACUAAGGAUCAGGAUGAAUUUGUAAUCCAACCAUUACGUAAUAUUACGUAAUCUGGUCCGCAAGGGCGUGGGUUCGAAUCCCACUCUCAUCA